UACGUAGGGUGCGAGCGUUGUCCGUGAAUUAUUGGGCGUAAAGAGCUUGUAGGCGGUUUGUCGCGUCUGCUGUGAAAAUCCGGGGCUCAACCCCGGACUUGCAGUGGGUACGGGCAGACUAGAGUGUGGUAGGGGAGACUGAAAUUCCUGGUGUAGCGGUGAAAUGCGCAGAUAUCAGGAGGAACACCGAUGGCGAAGGCAGUUCUCUGGGCCGUAACUGACGCUGAGGAGCGAAAGCGUGGGGAGCGAACAGG
RNAcentral lists this ribosomal RNA (254 nucleotides) under uncultured bacterium. RNAcentral describes it as "partial 16S ribosomal RNA". It matches the Rfam family "Bacterial small subunit ribosomal RNA", at positions 524 to 776 of the family's 1533-position model. The record is from RNAcentral.